AUGCUAAUGGAGAAUGACUUUGCGAAUCUGAGCGGAAUCAUGAUAAUUGCACAGAGGCGAUUACGGUUGUCUCCGGAUUUGAAGGGGAGGCGGUCAGAUCGUGGAAGUUUCGACGAUGGAUCUCUGGAAACAUUGUUGUUCUGUGCAAAACAGAGAGCUUUCGUCGACGUUUACACCGACUGA
This is a non-coding RNA of Vicia faba (fava bean), 183 nucleotides long. Lineage: Eukaryota; Viridiplantae; Streptophyta; Magnoliopsida; Fabales; Fabaceae. The record is from the annotation of a GenBank genome assembly.